Molecule: long non-coding RNA, 1555 nt
Filed under: Salmo salar (Atlantic salmon)
Lineage: Eukaryota; Metazoa; Chordata; Actinopteri; Salmoniformes; Salmonidae
Description: lncRNA (ENSSSAG00000097130.1)
Source: RNAcentral
GACCUGAGCCCUAGGACCAUGCCUCAGGACUACCUGGCAUGAUGACUCCUUGCUGUCCCCAGUCCACCUGGCCGUGCUGCUGCUCCAGUUUCAACUGUUCUACCUGCGGCUAUGGAACCCUGACCUGUUCACCGGACGUGCUUGUUGCACCCUCGACAACUACUAUGAUUAUUAUUAUUUGACCAUGCUGGUCAUUUAUGAACAUUUUAACAUCUUGACCAUGUUCUGUUAUAAUAUCCACCCGGCACAGCCAGAAGAGGACUGGCCACCCCUCAUAGCCUGGUUCCUCUCUAGGUUUCUUCCUUGGUUUUUCGCCUUUCUAGGGAGUUUUUCCUAGGGAGUUUUUCCUAGCCACCGUGCUUCUUUCACAUGCAUUGCUUGCUGUUUGGGGUUUUAGGCUGGGUUUCUGUACAGCCCUUUGAGAUAUCAGCUGAUGUACGAAGGGCUAUAUAAAUCAAUUUGAUUUGAUUUGAUUUGAUUGCAAAGCAAUCACUAGCCUGCUAUUCAGUGGAGUGGAUGUGUGGUCCCAAAUCUGGGAUUAGUGGGCUCUUUUCCAAGUUUAAAAUGAUAAACAUUCAACAUUGGCCAUGCUGUCAAUGAAGCAUAAUUUGUGACUUCAGUGAGUUCAAGACAACUGGGAAGUUGGGAAUAAACUUUUUUUUUUAAAGUUUUGAACGGUCAUCCAACUCGGAAUUGUAAAUCGUCCUCUUUCUAGAGCUACGACCUGAAGAUCAAUGACGUUAUCAUGAUUCAAACUUGUUUUUUUCCGAGUUCACAAUUGUUUUGAAAGCACCACAAAUCCAGAGAAUGCCAGACUUUGAUGACAAAAGUUUCCCACAAGGACCGCCAAGGACCACCUUCCUGUUCAAGUGAGCACAGAACAACAAGACAGUUUUAUGUUGCUGGAGAGAAUUUGAGGAGUGAGAGAGUCCUUCAAGUCAACUAACUCUACUGCUAGAGGGAAGAACUAGGUAGUUAAACCAGGAAAUGAACACACGAAAUGGAGGAAACAGGCACUGGGAUCUUCCAAAGAUGGUGGAGUGGCAGUCUUUACCAAGAAUCACCUUCAGUGCUCGAUUGUCUCCAGCAAGACUGUCCCCAAAGAAUUUGAUUUUCUGGUUUUAAGCAUUGAGCUUUCAAAUAGCUCUUUGUUGACUGUUAUCAUCCACCAUCAGCACCGGCCUGUACCCUACCUUCCCUAAGCUCUCUCCUGGCCCCUUACACUAAGUCUGAAUUUGUCCUACUAGGUGACCUAAACUAGGACAUUCUUAAACCCCCUGAACAAGUCCUAAAGCAAUGGGACUCCCUAAAUCUUUCUCAGAUUAUUACCAAUCACACAAGGUAUGAUUCCAAACACCCAGAAAAGGCUACUCUCUUUGAUGUUAUCCUCACAAAUAAUCCUGAUAGGUAUCAGUCUUGUGUUUUCUGUAAUGAUAUUAGUGAUCACUGUUUUACAGCCUGUGUUCGUAAUGGCUGCUCAGUGAAACGACCUGUCCUGAUUUGUCAUAGACACCUGCUAAAAAACUUUAAUGAGCAAGCCUUUCUUCAUGACCUG